AAAUGCGUAGAUAUCGAGAGGACAACCGGUGGCGAAGGCGGCUUCNUGGACGAAACCUGACUCUGAAACACGAAAGCUAGGGGAGCAAACGGGAUUAGAUACCCCGGUAGUCCUAGCUGUAAACGGUGUGCGUUAGGUGUUGGCGGAUUCGACCCCGCCGGUGCCGAAGCUAACGCAUUAAACGCACCGCCUGAGGAGUACGGUCGCAAGGCUAAAACUCAAAGAAAUUGACGGGGGCCCGCACAAGCGGUGGAGCAUGUGGCUUAAUUCGAUGCAACGCGAAGAACCUUACCUGGCCUUGACAUGCAGCGUUCAGUCCCGGAAACGGGAUGGCCCGCAAGGGCGAGCUGCACAGGUGCUGCAUGGCUGUCGUCAGCUCGUGUCGUGAGAUGUUGGGUUAAGUCCCCCAACGAGCGCAACCCCUGUGUUUAGUUGCCGAAAGGUUCUCUAGACAGACUGCCCUCUUCAAGGGGGAGGAAGGUGGGGACGACGUCAAGUCGGGAUGGCCCUUAUGGCCAGGGCUGCACACGUGCUACAAUGCUCGGCACAAAGGGAAGCAAGACCGCGAGGUGGAGCAAAUCCCCAAAACCGAGCCCAGUUCGGAUUGAAGGCUGCAACUCGCCUUCAUGAAGCCGGAAUCGCUAGUAAUGGCGCAUCAGCUACGGCGCCGUGAUACGUUCCCGGGCG
Molecule: ribosomal RNA, 687 nt
Filed under: uncultured bacterium
Lineage: Bacteria
Description: bacterial SSU rRNA
Rfam family: Bacterial small subunit ribosomal RNA
Source: RNAcentral